AAAUGCAACUUAGACCACGAGAAAUUAGUCUUACGACUGUUUCCUGAGGUGAAUCUGGAGAUCUGAAUUAGAACUGAUUGCUCCAAAUCUUGGUUUUACCGAAAGAAUAUCUAGGAAGAUGGCUGCCGAGGAUGGUAGGUCAAACUGAACUGCCUCAAUGCUGCUGAUCACGAAGUUUAAAUCUGAAUGAAUCCUGCUAAAUGGUGCGAUCUCAAAUCAUGUUAUGUCGAAGCUUCGAUCUGAUGUAUUUCUUGGGAAGCUGCAGAGUCUAAAGACGUCCACUCUGAGGAGGAGAAGGCGUUGAAGGAUGACUUCCAGAGCCUGCGGGAAAUCAUAUCUGAUGAAGGCGGUGCCAAAGG
Molecule: long non-coding RNA, 359 nt
Filed under: Coccomyxa subellipsoidea
Lineage: Eukaryota; Viridiplantae; Chlorophyta; Trebouxiophyceae; Coccomyxaceae
Description: long non-coding RNA (CSUB_LNC000365)
Source: RNAcentral